AGAGUUUGAUCCUGGCUCAGAAUCAACGCUGGCGGCGUGCCUAACACAUGCAAGUCGAACGAGAAAGCGGAGCAAUCCGCAAGUAAAGUGGCGCACGGGUGAGUAACACGUGACUAACCUACCCUGGAGUGGGGGAUAACUGAGGGAAACCUUAGCUAAUACCGCAUAACACCUACGGGUCAAAGGAGCAAUUCGCUUUGGGAGGGGGUCGCGGCCGAUUAGUUAGUUGGCGGGGUAAUGGCCCACCAAGACAGUGAUCGGUAUCCGGCCUGAGAGGGCGCACGGACACACUGGAACUGAAACACGGUCCAGACUCCUACGGGAGGCAGCAGUGGGGAAUUUUGCGCAAUGGGGGAAACCCUGACGCAGCAACGCCGCGUGGAGGAUGAAGUACUUCGGUACG
Molecule: ribosomal RNA, 403 nt
Filed under: uncultured bacterium
Lineage: Bacteria
Description: bacterial SSU rRNA
Rfam family: Bacterial small subunit ribosomal RNA
Source: RNAcentral